This 314-nucleotide long non-coding RNA is filed under the name Gossypium barbadense (sea-island cotton). Its description in RNAcentral is "long non-coding RNA (GBAR_LNC020523)". Lineage: Eukaryota; Viridiplantae; Streptophyta; Magnoliopsida; Malvales; Malvaceae. The record is from RNAcentral.
CGUAAUGUAAUACGCGCGUAAUGGCUAAUACAGCGAACCAAACGCCGGAUUAGGGGCGUAAUGUAAUACGUGCGUAAUCGGGGCGUAAUGGAUUGGGUAAUACGGCGAACCAAACACGCUGUAAGUUGUUAACUGCCAUUAAUGGUGUAAAGGCAAGCUGACGUGACACGUUAAAUAAUCAUUUUAAAUAAAAAUUUUAGGUUAAAUUAUACAAUUUUAGUCCCUAUCUUUUUUUGUUUUGAGCAAAUUUUUUUCUUUUAUUUUCUUUUAACUUUCCAUUUUUUUUCUUUUCUUUUCAUUCUCUUCUGCUUGUC